CCUACGGGUGGCAGCAGUGAGGAAUAUUGGUCAAUGGGCGCGAGCCUGAACCAGCCAAGUAGCGUGAAGGAUGACUGCCCUACGGGUUGUAAACUUCUUUUAUAAAGGAAUAAAGUGAGGCACGUGUGCCUUUUUGUAAGUACUUUAUGAAUAAGGAUCGGCUAACUCCGUGCCAGCAGCCGCGGUACAACGGAGGAUCCGAGCGUUAUCCGGAUUUAUUGGGUUUAAAGGGUGCGUAGGCUGUGAGGUAAGUCAGCGGUGAAAAGCCCCGGCUCAACGGGGUGAAGUGCCAUUGAUACUGGCUUGGUGGAAUGUGGAUGCCGUGGGAGGAAUGUGUGGUGUAGCGGGGAAAUGCAUAGAGAUCAUACAGAACACCGAUUGCGAAGGCAUCUCACGAAUCCGCGAUUGACGCUGAUGCACGAAAGCGUGGGUAGCAAACAGGAUUAGAUACCCUUGUAGUC
This 461-nucleotide ribosomal RNA is filed under the name uncultured bacterium. RNAcentral describes it as "partial 16S ribosomal RNA". It matches the Rfam family "Bacterial small subunit ribosomal RNA", at positions 338 to 795 of the family's 1533-position model. The record is from RNAcentral.